UGUCCUCCAUCGGAGGUCUAUAUUGAGCAGAUUCUAUCUGGUGUUGGGUGGUGGAACCGGAGCUUGCUCCAUCCACUGCAUGCAUUGACCUGGUAUUGCAGUGCUUCCAGGACUGGUGC
This 119-nucleotide small nuclear RNA is filed under the name Crocodylus porosus (Australian saltwater crocodile). Its description in RNAcentral is "U2 spliceosomal RNA (ENSCPRG00005018612.1)". It matches the Rfam family "U2 spliceosomal RNA", at positions 67 to 185 of the family's 192-position model. Rfam says of the family: U2 is a small nuclear RNA (snRNA) component of the spliceosome (involved in pre-mRNA splicing). Complementary binding between U2 snRNA (in an area lying towards the 5' end but 3' to hairpin I) and the branchpoint sequence (BPS) of the intron results the bulging out of an unpaired adenosine, on the BPS, which initiates a nucleophilic attack at the intronic 5' splice site, thus starting the first of two transesterification reactions that mediate splicing. Lineage: Eukaryota; Metazoa; Chordata; Crocodylia; Crocodylidae. The record is from RNAcentral.